RNAcentral lists this long non-coding RNA (303 nucleotides) under Homo sapiens (human). Its description in RNAcentral is "HSALNT0364934". Lineage: Eukaryota; Metazoa; Chordata; Mammalia; Primates; Hominidae. The record is from RNAcentral.
CUGGAAUAAAAGUUAGUUGCCCUUGCAGGCUCUGAGUCAGGCUGUCAAGCCCGUAGACCAGCUAUGGGCCAUGUCCUGCCCAGGCAUUCCAGGCAGGAGGAAGAGUUUGAGCAAACUCCAAAAGGGAAGAGGUGGCCAGGCCCUUUUGAAGAACUGCUGGCAGUUCAGUGAGACUGGAAUUUAUUCAUGUGGACAGAGUAUUAAUUCAACGGGUCUGUGAUGAACCAUACCUCAACUUUGUUGUGCAGGAAGCUUCUAGAUUUAUACAUACGAACAAUAAUAAAACCAUAGUUGAAAUUUGUC